Oxyura jamaicensis (ruddy duck) is the source of this 2029-nucleotide long non-coding RNA. RefSeq lists it as uncharacterized. The record is from RefSeq and is a predicted model, not a curated record. Lineage: Eukaryota; Metazoa; Chordata; Aves; Anseriformes; Anatidae. The transcript is spliced from 2 exons.
UUUUUUUCUAAUAGAUGCUAAUUUGGAAAUCGAUCUAUUUUUAUCUGAAGCUCUGCGCAGUAAGGACAGAGUUGUUACUUGAUACUGCUGGAAUAAGGCAAUAUGCCCUUUGUUUGGAAAGGUGUGUAUUUCCUUUCAUGGCUUACUUUAAAUCAUCACAAGUGAUACAACUCUUUCUAAUUAAAAACAUGGAAGACUUGAAGCAGCAUUUUUUUUUCCAGCUGUGGCAGUAAUUCAGAUGAACUAGUUGAAUAUCUACAUAUACCUUUGUUUUACUGCUCAAAUGGAGAGUGGGAAAGUAAUCAGAGUUUUAGCAAACAUUCUGUAGUCAUCUUCAAUAAACGUCUAGCUGAGCAAGAAGGCCUCUUACACAGCCUUGUUAGGUGUGCUUGGAAGAAGAGUGACGGUUUUAUCCUUCUAAGGUAAAGAUCCAGUUUUGUGACAUUUCCUGUUUCAGGUCUUGUCCAGGACGAUUUUAUUCCCUUCUAUCUUGUAAAAACCAUGACAGAUUUGGUUACAGAAACAAACCCUUACUAGUUUCAACAGGAUCAAACAAAGGCCAUCUAAACUGUAAUAACCCAAGACAAGUAUACUGGAUUUCAGAAUACAAUGAAGGCUUUUUUUUAAAGUAAAAAAAAAAAAAAAAAAAAAAAAAAAACUUUUGCUUUUACAGCCUCAAAGUUUACAGAUAUUCAGGUAUUUUCUGCCAAUUGGACUUUUCACUCAUUAAUUGUACCAAUUCCAGUUCCAGAUACCUUAAUUCUUUCACUAGUGACAGCUCAUGGCUAGCCUAUGGUAGUUUCCAAUAAAAUGCUAUUUCAAGAUAAGGGAAGGAGUAGCAUGCCAAAGAAGAAGGGUACCAAGUAAUCCUCGAGAGAACAGAUGCCAGAAAUGCUGGCACACUACGGGGUGUAGCUCUCAGUUCUUUUUCUUACCCAGAGACUCCAAACAAGCAGUAGCUCUUGAAGAAAGCAUAGCAUGGCUUUGAUAACAAGAAACCAGCACAUUCUGAAAUAAAGCCCUGGCCAGUUCCAAAUUCAGCACCUUUUUGAUAAGCCAGUGUGAGUUUUAACAAACUCUCCACUGUUUUCAAAUAGGUUUUAAGGUCUAAAAGUUUGAGUAUGUCCCCUCGAUGUUUUUGCACAGGGCGUGAUGCAGAUGAAGAGCAGGUCCCUAAAAAGGGGCCUACAAGAAAGCAGGAGAGGGGCUCUGCCGGGGAGCGUGGUGAUAGGACAGGGAGUAACGGUUUCAGACUAAAAGAGGGUAGGUUCAGAUUAGGAUAUUAGGAAGAAAUUCUUCACUCAGAGGGUGGUGAGGCACUGGAACAGGGUGGAAUUAGAUGGUCUCUAGGUCCCUUCCAACCCAAAGCAUUCUAUGGUUCUGUUUCUAUAAUCAAUAUACACACAGACACAUGCUUAAACACAACAUUGCAGGGCUUGGAGAGGUACUUCAUGAUGCGGCAAGAACAGGGUUGGUUUACAUUUCCUGGCCUUGUAUUCCCAAAGAUUAUAAUAUUGCACUUGCCUUUGGAGAAGGAUUCUACCUGAAAAGUUUCUUUACGGUGGCUAAUAGCUAGGCUGUAGUUGUGCUCUCUGCAGUACAGAAUACUCCAGAUGAACCAAAGGAUCCUGCACUGGGUGCUUGUUGUUGUUCCACAGGUGAUAUUUAGAAUGACAGAACAAACAUAUCCACGUAGAAUCCAAUAGCAGUUGAUGUAAUUGAUUUACUGCUCGGUUUAUAGAGGGAUCAACCUCUCAUCCUCCACCCAUUGUUGGCUGUGAGUCAGUGGCAUCUCCUUCAGCCAGCUGUAAGCAGCAAACACAUUGCAUCACAGGGAGUCUUGCAGUGUGUCAGACACACCUUGGUGGUAUGAUCACGCUGUAGGUUGCCAUCUAGUUAAAGCGUUAGUUUUAUGGCAGUGGUUUCUUGUUCUUUAUAUAUGUUGGCAUUUAGGUUCCUGAUUACUGCAAAGACCAGGAAAAAUAUUUAGAAACGUUACCAAGAGUGGGUAGCCAGCAUUUUUAUUUUU